RNAcentral lists this ribosomal RNA (166 nucleotides) under uncultured Ascomycota. RNAcentral describes it as "5.8S ribosomal RNA". It matches the Rfam family "5.8S ribosomal RNA". Rfam says of the family: 5.8S ribosomal RNA (5.8S rRNA) is a component of the large subunit of the eukaryotic ribosome. It is transcribed by RNA polymerase I as part of the 45S precursor that also contains 18S and 28S rRNA. Functionally, it is thought that 5.8S rRNA may be involved in ribosome translocation. The record is from RNAcentral. Lineage: Eukaryota; Fungi; Ascomycota.
AAACUUUUUCAACAACGGAUCUCUUGGGUUUCUCGCAUCGAUGAAGAACGCAGCGAAAUUGCGAUAAGUAGUGUGAAUUGCAGAAUUUCAGUGAAUCAUCGAAUCUUUGAACGCACAUUGCGCCUCCUGGGCAUUUCCGGGAGGCAUGCCUGUCCGAACGUCAUCA